UUCUGGAGCAUCACAUUUGUGGGGUCAAUUAAACGCUCAAAAUGGCCAGAAAAAGAGAACUUUCAUCUGAAACUCGACAGUCUAUUCUUGUUCUUAGAAAUGAAGGCUAUUCCAUGCAAGAAAUUGCUAAGAAAUUGAAGAUUUCCUACAACGGUGUGUACUUCUCCCUUCAGAGGACAGCACAAACAGGCUCUAACCAGAGUAGAAAAAGAAGUGGGAGGCCGCGUUGCACAACUGAGCAAGAAGAUAAGUACAUUACAGUCUCUAGUUUGAGAAACAGACGCCUCACAGGUCCCCAACUGGCAUCUUCAUUAAAUAGUACCCGCAAAACACCAGUGUCAACAUCUACAGUGAAGAGGCGGCUGCGGGAUUCUGGGCUUCAGGGCAGAGUGGCAAAGAAAAUGUGAGGAUCCUAGACUUUUGUUUCACUGGGUUUUUGGGUUUUUGUCUGUCUUUGGGUUUUGGUGGGUGUGCCUUUGUUCACUGCAGGUUGGGCGGAGCCAAUCAGGAGAGAUCGCUGGCAGCUGUGGCUCAUCAGCUGUGCCCAGCUUAAAUACUGGCGUCUCACAGAAGACCGACGCCAGAGGAUUGUGAUACCUACCACGGGUUCUCCUCCUCGGCUCCAGCACUCGGCACACCUCCAAGCUCUCCAGCGUUUUGUCACCCACGGGAUUUCACUACCACGGACACCUUCACAGGGAGACCCUUCACGAGAGCACCCCCCCACGAGGACUGAACCCUGAGCACCGGACCCCUGCGCACCACCCCGGUUUCCCUCGUCACGGCUCCCUCUCUGCACCGGGAAACCCCCCACGGACCAAGGCACUCUCAGGCACCGUCUCUUUGUGCACCACCCUCGGGACCCCCCUUCCUCGGAUCACAACCCCAAAGAACUUCACCCCACCACCUUCCUUAAAUAAAUCCUGUUUCCUUUAACCCUU
This is a long non-coding RNA of Stegastes partitus (bicolor damselfish), 941 nucleotides long. RefSeq lists it as uncharacterized. The record is from RefSeq and is a predicted model, not a curated record. The transcript is spliced from 2 exons. Lineage: Eukaryota; Metazoa; Chordata; Actinopteri; Pomacentridae.